RNAcentral lists this ribosomal RNA (1149 nucleotides) under Triticum aestivum (bread wheat). RNAcentral's name for it is "partial small subunit ribosomal RNA". Lineage: Eukaryota; Viridiplantae; Streptophyta; Magnoliopsida; Poales; Poaceae. The record is from RNAcentral.
AUGGCUUCAAUUCGAACAGCUGUCCCUUUCUCACCUGCUUCAUUCUGUGUUAAUAGGAUGAACCAUCACCUUGAAAGUAGUGAUUACCAGAAGCUCUUCUGUAGGAAGAUGGACUCUGCUGAGCUCCAAACUCCACUUCUACAUGGUCUUCCGGAUGAGAUUGCUCUUCUUUGCCUGGCAAGGGUUCCUCGGCAGUAUCACAAUGCUCUCAGGUGUGUCUCAAGGGGAUGGAAGGCCUUGUUAAGCAGUGAAGAGUGGCACUCUUACCGCAAGCGGAACAAUUUGGCCGAGUCCUGGAUAUAUGUGAUCUGUAGGGGCACAGGCUUCAAAUGCUAUGUUCUUGUUCCUGACCCUACGACCCGGUCCUUGAAAGUCAUCCAAGUCAUGGAACCUCCAUGCUCAGGGCGGGAAGGCGUUUCCAUAGAGACCUUGGACAGGAGGUUAUUUCUCAUGGGUGGUUGUAGUUGGCUAAAGGAUGCUAAUGAUGAAGUGUACUGUUACGACGCUGCUUCAAAUCAUUGGAGCAAAGCACCACCAAUGCCUACUGCUAGGUGCUUCUUUGUAUCUGCAGCUCUGAAUGACAAGAUUUAUGUUACUGGAGGACUCGGACUGACCGACAAGUCACCUAAUUCUUGGGACAUCUACGACAAAGCCACAGACUCCUGGUUCUCGCACAAGAACCCGAUGCUCACUCCAGACAUUGUCAAAUUCGUGGCGCUGGAUGAUGAGCUGGUGACCAUCCACAAGGCGUCCUGGAACAGAAUGUAUUUCGCGGGUAUAUACGACCCGGUCGACCAGUCCUGGAGGGGCAAGGAGAACGAGAUUGCCCUGUGCUGGUCCGGCCCGACGGUCGUCGUUGACGGGAUGCUCUACAUGCUCGACCAGUCCCUCGGCACCAAGCUGAUGGUGUGGCUGAACGAGACCAAGCAGUGGGUGAUGGUCGGCAGGCUGUCGGACAAGCUCACGCGCCCGCCGUGCGAGCUGGUGGCCAUCGGCAGGAAGAUCUACGUGAUCGGCAAGGGGCUGAGCACGGUGACCAUCGACAUGGACAUGGCGGCCAGGGUGGACGGGUUCCUGGUCUCGUCGUCGACAGGCCCGCUGAUGGAGCACGACUUCUCGCCGGAGAAGUGUAGCGUCAUCACCAUCUGA